Molecule: ribosomal RNA, 484 nt
Filed under: uncultured bacterium
Lineage: Bacteria
Description: partial 16S ribosomal RNA
Rfam family: Bacterial small subunit ribosomal RNA
Source: RNAcentral
AUUGAACGCUGGCGGCAUGCCUAACACAUGCAAGUCGAGCGGAUGAAGGGAGCUUGCUCCUGGAUUCAGCGGCGGACGGGUGAGUAAUGCCUAGGAAUCUGCCUGGUAUUGGGGGAUAACGUCCGGAAACGGGCGCUAAUACCGCAUACGUCCUGAGGGAGAAAGUGGGGGAUCUUCGGACCUCACGGUAUCUGCUGACCCUAGGUCGGAUUAGCUAGUUGGUGGGGUAAAGGCCUACCAAGGCGACGAUCCGUAACUGAUCUGAGAGGAUGAUCAGUCACACUGGAACUGAGACACGGUCCAGACUCCUACGGGAGGCAGCAGUGGGGAAUAUUGGACAAUGGGCGAAAGCCUGAUCCAGCCAUGCCGCGUGUGUGAAGAAGGUCUUCGGAUUGUAAAGCACUUUAAGUUGGGAGGAAGGGCAGUAAGUUAAUACCUUGCUGUUUUGACGUUACCAACAGAAUAAGCACCGGCUAACUUCGUG